RNAcentral lists this ribosomal RNA (253 nucleotides) under uncultured bacterium. RNAcentral's name for it is "partial 16S ribosomal RNA". It matches the Rfam family "Bacterial small subunit ribosomal RNA", at positions 524 to 776 of the family's 1533-position model. The record is from RNAcentral.
UACGAAGGGUGCAAACGUUGCUCGGAAUUAUUGGGCGUAAAGCGCACGUAGGCGGCUUAGCAAGUCGGAUGUGAAAUCCCUCGGCUCAACCAAGGAAGUGCAUCCGAAACUGCUGAGCUUGAGUACUUAAGAGGAUCGCGGAAUUCCCGGUGUAGAGGUGAAAUUCGUAGAUAUCUGGAGGAACACCGGUGGCGAAGGCGGCAUCCUGGACCAAUAUUGACGCUGAGGAGCGAAAGCUAGGGGAGCAAACGGG